AAGUCGUAACAAGGUUUCCGUAGGUGAACCUGCGGAAGGAUCAUUAACACGAGAGGUAAUGGGGUUGUAAAGGGGCGUGGGGACCCGGUUGCAUGUCUGCCGGUCGGUGAGCGACCUCUGGCAAUCGUUGAGGCGAGAUCCUUAGACAAGCAAUGACACUUUCAGACACUGACUGCUUCGGGAUGCCAUGCAGCUAUCUCCGCUCAAUCGUAACUGUAACUUCUCAUUUGUCAGAAGUCCCGAAUCAAUACUGUUCGACAAUGAUUUACCGGGAUUGCUGGAUCGCACUGGGCUACGAGAGCAGGUUUGAAUGUUCACAGGGGGGUUUUUUACGUUGGAUAGUGAGUCGCGGGAAACUAGCGGCUAAAAAACCUCGAACAACUGUUAACAAUGGAUAUCUUGGUUCUC
RNAcentral lists this unclassified non-coding RNA (408 nucleotides) under fungal sp. RNAcentral's name for it is "partial internal transcribed spacer region". The stretch from base 1 to 46 matches the Rfam family "Eukaryotic small subunit ribosomal RNA", at positions 1786 to 1831 of the family's 1831-position model. The record is from RNAcentral. Lineage: Eukaryota; Fungi.